Molecule: long non-coding RNA, 305 nt
Filed under: Bos taurus (domestic cattle)
Lineage: Eukaryota; Metazoa; Chordata; Mammalia; Artiodactyla; Bovidae
Description: long non-coding RNA NONBTAT019295
Source: RNAcentral
AAAUUGAUUACCUUUUGCAACAUUACAUGUAUGAAGUAAUCUAGAUUCAGUGUGACCUAAUACUAGGGAGCAUACUGGAAGUUGGCCUUUUGUUAGGAAAGAUACAAGGAGGCUAUUUUGGACAAAUGAAGGUUACUAUAUUCAUGUUUAUAACAUGAAAAUAGCCUUAUUUUUGUUCUUGGCAUAAGUCAAUAAUGAGUUAAAUACUUUACUGGGAUUUCAUCAAAACAGUAUUCUUCCUGUUCAUUCUAAGAAUUCAGGAGGGGAAUAUAGUAGUAACUUGUCUAUUGACACUUUUGCCUUAC